GGUUGUGGCUCAGAGGUACAGCGCUUGCCUACCAUACGUGAGGCUCUGGGUUCAAUCCCCAGAAUCA
RNAcentral lists this transfer RNA (67 nucleotides) under Marmota monax (woodchuck). RNAcentral describes it as "tRNA.Gly". Lineage: Eukaryota; Metazoa; Chordata; Mammalia; Rodentia; Sciuridae. The record is from RNAcentral.